GGGAGCGGAUGUGUCCCGGUGGAUGCCCCGGUCUUCAAAACCGGUGAUCGGCUGCGCCGAGCAGGCGAUGGUGGGUUCGACUCCCAUGCGCUCCCGA
This 97-nucleotide transfer RNA is filed under the name Chloroflexota bacterium. Its description in RNAcentral is "tRNA-Sec". It matches the Rfam family "Selenocysteine transfer RNA". The record is from RNAcentral. Lineage: Bacteria; Bacillati; Chloroflexota.